Long non-coding RNA from Lynx canadensis (Canada lynx), 240 nucleotides. RefSeq lists it as uncharacterized. NCBI's taxonomy places the organism in Eukaryota, Metazoa, Chordata, Mammalia, Carnivora, Felidae. The record is from RefSeq and is a predicted model, not a curated record. The transcript is spliced from 3 exons.
CCUGCUGCUGCUCGGAUUUCCUUCUGGGACCUCGUGUCAGUCUUCUGAGGGUGGCGGCCGCGCCUGGGCUGUUGCGCGGGAGGCUGUCAUUUCCCAGGAUUCCUCAGCCAUGCUCCGGUGAUACCUGUUUGAAAUCGGACUUCAGGCAAGCUGGUUCCUUCUCGUGUGGCUAAGACGAUGCAGCCAGCUCACCCUGUUUAUGGAACGGUCCCACUCCCAGCGUGGAGCCCAUGGUGGGGC